AAUGGGAAGGGGGUGAUUAGAGUUAUAUAUUCAGUACCCUAGAGCACACCAGAAAAAGCAUACUGCAGAGGAAGCUGAGGCAUGACUGCUUGAGAACCUGCUAAUCAUGUGCAAGUCUCCUCUGAUAGUUCCUAGGUACAAUUGCCACAGUGACAAUGGUUGUCCCAUGUUAUUAUCUGUUCACAAGAGAAGUGUUGCCAGUGGGGAUAUUGUUUAACAGAUGUAGUAGUGUCUGUUGGACACUAAAUAUUGCUACAGAU
Non-coding RNA from Pteronotus mesoamericanus, 260 nucleotides. Lineage: Eukaryota; Metazoa; Chordata; Mammalia; Chiroptera; Mormoopidae. The record is from RefSeq and is a predicted model, not a curated record.